RNAcentral lists this ribosomal RNA (810 nucleotides) under uncultured bacterium. Its description in RNAcentral is "bacterial SSU rRNA". It matches the Rfam family "Bacterial small subunit ribosomal RNA", at positions 66 to 864 of the family's 1533-position model. The record is from RNAcentral.
ACGGCAGCACAGGAGAGCUUACUCUCUGGGUGGCGAGUGGCGGACGGGUGAGGAAUGCGUCGGAAUCUGCCUCUUUGUGGGGGAUAACGUAGGGAAACUUACGCUAAUACCGCAUACGACCUACGGGUGAAAGCCGGGGACCUUCGGGCCUGGCGCAGAGAGAUGAGCCGACGCCGGAUUAGCUAGUUGGCGGGGUAAAGGCCCACCAAGGCGACGAUCCGUAGCUGGUCUGAGAGGAUGAUCAGCCACACUGGAACUGAGACACGGUCCAGACUCCUACGGGAGGCAGCAGUGGGGAAUAUUGGACAAUGGGCGCAAGCCUGAUCCAGCCAUGCCGCGUGUGUGAAGAAGGCCUUCGGGUUGUAAAGCACUUUUGUCCGGAAAGAAAAGCCUUGGGCUAAUACCCUGGGGUUAUGACGGUACCGGAAGAAUAAGCACCGGCUAACUUCGUGCCAGCAGCCGCGGUAAUACGAAGGGUGCAAGCGUUACUCGGAAUUACUGGGCGUAAAGCGUGCGUAGGUGGUUUGUUAAGUCUGAUGUGAAAGCCCUGGGCUCAACCUGGGAACUGCAUUGGAUACUGGCUGACUAGAGUGCGGUAGAGGGUGGCGGAAUUCCCGGUGUAGCAGCGAAAUGCGUAGAUAUCGGGAGGAACAUCCGUGGCGAAGGCGGCCACCUGGACCAGCACUGACACUGAGGCACGAAAGCGUGGGGAGCAAACAGGAUUAGAUACCCUGGUGGUCCACGCCCUAAACGAUGCGAACUGGAUGUUGGGUGCAAUUAGGCACUCAGUAUCGAAGCUAACGCGUUAAG